Molecule: long non-coding RNA, 1480 nt
Filed under: Oryctolagus cuniculus (rabbit)
Lineage: Eukaryota; Metazoa; Chordata; Mammalia; Lagomorpha; Leporidae
Description: lncRNA (ENSOCUG00000030739.1)
Source: RNAcentral
AUGCCUAGAAUCAUCCUCCGAAUUGUGAAACCUCAUUCCAAUAAGAAUCCAAGGAGCCAUCAUUUGGAGACUUAUUUGCUUGUCAUAUUGGAGGAGACUCAACGCAUCUUUUCUUCCUUUCAAGUCGAUCUCUUCUCUUGCAGAGCUCACAGUGGUGAACAAGACACUCUCCGAUUAAAGACUGAACACAGCCUAGUACAGAUAAAUUGUCUUCCAAAUAUGGAGCUGUUUGAUCUGCUGUCAGUUUCUGGGUACCCUGGAUUGCAAAUCUGCCUGGCAAUACACAAUACACACUGUGUGCACUGCUGCCCCCAUGAAUUUGCUAAUAUUCACAGCAUCUUCCAAACUGCAGAGACUGAAGGUAUGUGUUCCGUUUUGACCCCACUUCUUAAAGCAAUUACUCCCGACGUGAAGGUGAAACCAGGGUCAGAGGAAUUUUCCUUCAUGUGUUUCUGUCACAGGAGCAAGCCAAGAAUCUGAUAUGUAGACUGCUUGAAUAAUUCUAAAGUUUCUAUGGUUCUGAACUAGGGCUGUUAUGAAUUUCAGCCCAAAGGUUAUAGUAACAACCAACUUAACAGACAUGUGGUUGCUUCAUCAUCCAUAAUGCUUUCAAAACUUACACAAAUCCUUCUCUAUUCCUAAAGAUGAACACCAUAAUUACAGCAUGUCGUUUGACCUUACUCAGAUUCCAAAAACACAUGGACCCUUUAAAUGGAACCAGAAAGCAAUGCUAGUAAGAGCUCUACCAGGCUCCAUUUUUCAAAUAGAAAAUGAUGGGCUUCUCACGUCCAUCACGUAUCGUUCCUUCACCCAUUUUAUUUACACGCACUUUGUCCAAGUGUUUCACACAUGGUUUCCUGAAGGCAUUUAUGCUUAUCCUACCAGGAGAUAUAUUAGCACACUUUGUACUGCGUGGUGGCUAUAAGACAUAGGAUACUACAGUUACAAGGGAACCGAGGUAACUGCCCAAUACUAGCAGCUGAUGCACUUGCAUGGACAUGCAUGCACAAUUAUUGCACAUAAUUAGGAUAUUAAGCCUUGAGUGUUCAGGCUAUCAUUUGGAGGACAAGUCUUAAAUCUCCAGUGUGUGGAUGAAGAAAUUUAUUGUAUAUCCUUAUUUCCAAUGUUUUAUCACUUAACCCUUUCUACAGAUGUAUCAGGCUUCAGAUAUUGUCUAUUAAACUUGACUUUUGCUUAAGAGUUGUUCAAUAACCUAGUGUUUAAGUUGACUUGCCUUUGUUAAUUCAAGAUUUGUGUCUAAAUGAGAAGUCACAGGAACAGGAAGAUAGAAGUAAUUAUAAUCAAAGUAUUAGCUGUGGGUCUCAGGUCUUUCCUCCUUUUUAUUAGAGUUGGGGGCACAGUUAAGGAUUAAAAGUCAAAAGGUUAAAGUAGUAACGUGAUUUAACUUUCCUUCUUUCCCACCACAGAGCAUGUCUAGAAUUGCCAGGUAUGAGUGCCCAUAUUUCAGGAAAUAUUCCGA